CAUACUCACCAUGUCCAAGCAGCCAGGCCAUCAGCAGGCAUCAAGAUGUGUGUUCCAAGUGCCCAGUCCAGGAUCCCUUGCGAGGACACGAAGCGGGAGAGACACCAGCUAUCCACCAGCAAGUCUCCUUGACUCCUUGGAGACGGGUCACAAGCGGAUGAUUUGUCAGUAUUAUGCAUCCCUCAUGCACACCCCAGCGUAUCUGAGGUCCUGGAAGCUGCUCACAUUUCAGUGUGCUGCAAGGUAGAGAGCAGCAAAGCCCUUGGUGGAUUGGGAACUGACCUCCACAUCUCCCUGCUGCUCCAGCUUCGGGACCAUCCCUUCUCUUGGCAUCAGAGCUCAGAGGCCUUUCUUUGUUAAAUUCUACUUCAAUUGGUUUAAUUCUGUUUUCUUGCUGGAAGAGGAUUUAGUAAAACAAACAAAACAUCUUA
Molecule: long non-coding RNA, 431 nt
Organism: Haemorhous mexicanus (house finch)
Lineage: Eukaryota; Metazoa; Chordata; Aves; Passeriformes; Fringillidae
Exons: 2
Source: RefSeq, a predicted model, not a curated record